GGAAAUGGCCUCUCUCCUCCCCGGCCUUGGGGAGGGCCUCCUGGGCUGGGCUCCGCGGGUUCCCUCCGGGCCUCAGAGUCCUGGAGUGUGGGCCAGGGCCCCGGGGCGGGGUUUGAGCUGCAGAAACCACCUGCCUAACCUGCACCUGGAGGGCCUGCUGGGGCCUGCUGCCGGGGCCUGUCACCAGGGCCCCCUCCUCUGCCUCGCGUCCCUUGUUUCCUUCCAUAACGUGGAACAUCUCCGACUGGAGGCCGUUCCCACCGGAUGUUGUAGGAUUGCACGAGGAAGGAAACGUCCCCUGGUUCUUUUCCUUUUCCUCUUCUUUUUUUUUUUUGGGGGGGGGGCGCAGGGGAUGGAACCCAGGGCUCUGCACACCGCUAAGCCCCCCCGAGUCAGCCCUCCCCACCAGUGUCAGCCACGUGACAGUGCAAGGCACCUUCUCACUCCAGGAACUUGUCCCAGGUCUCUGUCAUCCUCACUCUGGAAGCAGCCUGCCAUCUUGAAUGUCGCUGUCACACGCAUCUCCUCUUCAAGUGCUCAGAAGUGACACCUGUCACCUCAGGUUCCAUUUCACAGGCCAGAGCAAGCUUCAUGGGCACACCUAACCCCAGGUGGCUAGGCACGGGCCAACCUGUACCCUGGAGGGAAGAGACAAGGCCUUGUCUGAAGAUCUGAUGGUCUUGCAGGUGCCGCAUCAGGCCUGGAAGACGGCAGCAGAAGGGACUAGUCUCUCCUCUCCACGAGCUCAAGGCAUGUGCCCUUUCUGCCCAAAACCUGGUUCAUGGGACUGGUGAGCAAGAGGACAAGUAGGAGAACUCUGAGUGAGUCCCAGGCCCCUCUCUGCCUCCGUUCCUGACCCCGUCCCUACCUGCUCUCACCGGCUACUCCUGGCUGUUGGGUUUGGAAUGUGGCCUCAGGAGGUCCUGGCCUCCGGCUUCAGUGACCCUGUCUCAGUGCCAAGAGCUUAACGGGAUCCCAUUCUGACGGUCCAGUCUCGGCCCGUGCCUCAGAUGUCCCCGAUGGAGGGGAUCUUCGUGCACAGGAGACAUGCCUGGAUCUCACUCCCACUUCCCCAGGAGAGUGGCCGGGGAGCUUGUGUCCUGCAGAGCUGGCCUCUCCCAGCCUCCCCCUGCCCCCGGGUCUCCCAGGCCAGAGCUUUGCGUCUGAUCCCUGGAUCCUGGCAACUCCAUUGCCUCCCGU
Marmota monax (woodchuck) is the source of this 1200-nucleotide long non-coding RNA. RefSeq lists it as uncharacterized. The transcript has 3 exons. The record is from RefSeq and is a predicted model, not a curated record. NCBI's taxonomy places the organism in Eukaryota, Metazoa, Chordata, Mammalia, Rodentia, Sciuridae.